Molecule: ribosomal RNA, 433 nt
Filed under: uncultured bacterium
Lineage: Bacteria
Description: partial 16S ribosomal RNA
Rfam family: Bacterial small subunit ribosomal RNA
Source: RNAcentral
AACGAACGCUGGCGGCAGGCCUAACACAUGCCAGUCGAGCGAGAUCUUCGGGUCUAGCGGCGGACGGGUGAGUAACGCGUGGGAAUAUGCCUCUUGGUACGGAAUAGCCUCGGGAAACUGGGAGUAAUACCGUAUGUGCCCUUUGGGGGAAAGAUUUAUCGCCAAGAGAUUAGCCCGCGUUGGAUUAGGUAGUUGGUGGGGUAAUGGCCUACCAAGCCGACGAUCCAUAGCUGGUUUGAGAGGAUGAUCAGCCACACUGGGACUGAGACACGGCCCAGACUCCUACGGGAGGCAGCAGUGGGGAAUCUUAGACAAGGGGGGCAACCCUGAUCUAGCCAUGCCGCGUGAGUGAUGAAGGCCUUAGGGUUGUAAAGCUCUUUCAGCUGGGAAGAUAAUGACGGUACCAGCAGAAGAAGCCCCGGCUAACUCCGUG